GUACCGUGAGGGAAAGGUGAAAAGCACCCCGAUAAGGGGAGUGAAAUAGUUCCUGAAACCGGAUGCCUACAAGCAGUUGGAGCCUCUAUAUGGGGUGACAGCGUACCUCUUGCAUAAUGGGUCAGCGAGUUAGUCUUACAAGCGAGCUUAAGCCGUUAGGUGUAGGCGCAGCGAAAGCGAGUCUGAACAGGGCGACUGAGUUAAAUGGAUUAGACCCGAAACCCGGCGAUCUAGUUAUGAGCAGGUUGAAGGUGCGGUAACACGCACUGGAGGACCGAACCCACGUCUGUUGAAAAAGACGGGGAUGACUUGUGAUUAGGGGUGAAAGGCCAAUCAAGCCGGGAGAUAGCUGGUUCUCCGCGAAAACUAUUUAGGUAGUGCCUCAGGUAUUACCUACGGGGGUAGAGCACUGGAUGGAUGCGGGGGGCGCGAGCCUUACCAAUUCUAACCAAACUCCGAAUACCGUAGAGUAGAGCCUGGGAGACAGACUGUGGGUGCUAAGGUCCAUAGUCGAGAGGGAAACAGCCCUGACCACCAGCUAAGGUCCCUAAAUCAUGUCUAAGUGGGAAAGCAUGUGAGACGGCCAUAACAACCAGGAUGUUGGCUUAGAAGCAGCCAUCAUUUAAAGAAAGCGUAACAGCUCACUGGUCUAAUUAAGCUGUCUUGCGGCGAAGAUGUACCGGGGCUAAAGACAUGUACCGAAGCUGUGGAUGUGCACUUUGUGCACGUGGUAGCGGAGCGUUCCGUAAGCCGUUGAAGGUGUGGCGCGAGCCAUGCUGGAGGUAUCGGAAGUGAGAAUGCUGACAUGAGUAGCGAUAAAGAGUGUGAGAGACACUCUCGCCGAAAACCCAAGGGUUCCUGCGCAAGGCUAAUCCGCGCAGGGUGAGUCGGCCCCUAAGGCGAGGCCGAAAGGCGUAGUCGAUGGGAAACGGAUUAAUAUUUCCGUACUUGGUAUAAUUGCGAUGGGGGGACGGAGCAGGCUAAGCAAGCAUGGCGAUGGUAGUCCAUGUGAAAGUGUGUAGGCUAGUGACUUAGGUAAAUCCGGGUUGCUGUUAGGCUGAGACACGAGACGAGUCACCAAGGUGAUGAAGUUGCUGAUGCCAUACUUCCAGGAAAAGCCUCUAAGCUUCAGAUCACAUGCGACCGUACCCCAAACCGACACAGGUGGUCAGGUAGAGAAUACCAAGGCGCUUGAGAGAACUCGGGUGAAGGAACUAGGCAAAAUGGCACCGUAACUUCGGGAGAAGGUGCACCGGUUCGAGUGAAGGACUUGCUCCGUAAGCUCUUACCGGUCGAAGAUACCAGGUGGCUGCAACUGUUUAUUAAAAACACAGCACUCUGCAAACGCGCAAGCGGACGUAUAGGGUGUGACGCCUGCCCGGUGCCGGAAGGUUAAGAGGAGAUGUUCGCUUCGGCAAAGCAUUGAAUUGAAGCCCCGGUAAACGGCGGCCGUAACAAUAACGGUCCUAAGGUAGCGAAAUUCCUUGUCGGGUAAGUUCCGACCUGCACGAAUGGUGUAACGACUUGGGCACUGUCUCGGCCAUGAGCUCGGUGAAAUUGUGGUAUCGGUGAUGACGCCGAUUACCCGCAGCGGGACGAAAAGACCCCGUGAACCUUUACUACAACUUUACAUUGGCUUUAGCUGUCGCAUGUGUAGGAUAGGCGGGAGACUUUGAAGCGGCGUCGCCAGGCGUUGUGGAGUCACCCUUGAAAUACCGCCCUUGCCACAGGUGAAGUCUAACCCUUCAGGGGGAACAGUGUAUGGUGGGUAGUUUGACUGGGGCGGUCUCCUCCUAAAGAGUAACGGAGGAGCACGAAGGUACCCUCAGCACGGUUGGAAAUCGUGCAUUGAGUGCAAGAGCAUAAGGGUGCUUGACUGCGAGACAGACACGUCGAGCAGGUACGAAAGUAGGUUCUAGUGAUCCGGUGGUUCUGUAUGGAAGGGCCAUCGCUCAACGGAUAAAAGGUACUCCGGGGAUAACAGGCUGAUACCGCCCAAGAGUUCAUAUCGACGGCGGUGUUUGGCACCUCGAUGUCGGCUCAUCUCAUCCUGGGGCUGGAGCAGGUCCCAAGGGUAUGGCUGUUCGCCAUUUAAAGUGGUACGCGAGCUGGGUUUAGAACGUCGUGAGACAGUUCGGUCCCUAUCUGCCGUGGGCGUCGGAAGUUUGAGAAGAGCUGCUCCUAGUACGAGAGGACCG
Molecule: ribosomal RNA, 2198 nt
Filed under: uncultured Cafeteria
Lineage: Eukaryota; Bigyra; Bicosoecida; Cafeteriaceae
Description: sp. partial Bacterial large subunit ribosomal RNA
Rfam family: Bacterial large subunit ribosomal RNA
Source: RNAcentral